Molecule: non-coding RNA, 427 nt
Organism: Paramormyrops kingsleyae
Lineage: Eukaryota; Metazoa; Chordata; Actinopteri; Osteoglossiformes; Mormyridae
Source: RefSeq, a predicted model, not a curated record
UUUUUUAUUUAAAAGGAUCGUCUCCGCCCCAUUGCAGGCAAGAUAGUAUGUGGAGGUAAACUGUGUCAACUACUCUGGAUCGCCUAGUUUAAAAGAUGGCGUGUGACCUCUGACCCCUGUUGCCGGUAAACGCCGUGGACCAUGGCUGCCCCAGAAGCUUCUGGAGGGAGCCAGCUGCAGAGGAUCGUCCGAGAGCUGCAGGAUUCAUCUACUCUGGAAAUUCAUCAGUGUCACCUUCAGUGUCAUCCCCACGUUCUGAUUUCAGAUCUCAACUUUGCCUCUUAUUGUCUGAUAAAUCCUAUGACUUUUCAGCUCAGUCUCCACUGUGAUUUCCUCAUUACCACACAUAUGUACACGUCUCUGAAAAUGUGUAUGUAUAUUUAUAUGCAUCAUCAUCAGUCUAUGAAAUAUAAUGGAUUUCUCUGUU